Molecule: ribosomal RNA, 510 nt
Filed under: uncultured bacterium
Lineage: Bacteria
Description: partial 16S ribosomal RNA
Rfam family: Bacterial small subunit ribosomal RNA
Source: RNAcentral
AACGAACGUUAGCGGCGCGCCUAACACAUGCAAGUCGAACGCGACAGGGGCAACUCUGUUGAGUGGCGCACGGGUGAGUAACACGUAGGUAAUCUCCCCCCGAGUGGUGGAUAACCUUCCGAAAGGAGGGCUAAUACAGCAUAAGACCACGGCUUCGAAAGGAGCUGAGGUCAAAGCGGAGGAUCGCAAGACUUCGCGCUUGGGGAUGAGCCUGCGGCCCAUCAGGUAGUUGGCGGGGUAACAGCCCACCAAGCCGAAGACGGGUAGCUGGUCUGAGAGGAGUAGCAGCCAGACUGGAACUGAGACACGGUCCAGACUCCUACGGGAGGCAGCAGUGGGGGAUCUUGCGCAAUGGACGAAAGUCUGAUGCAGCGACGCCGCGUGGGUGAUGAAGGCCUUCGGGUUGUAAAGCCCUGUGGGGAGGGACGAAUAAGUUUCAGCUAAUACCUGAAGCGAUGACGGUACCUCCUUAGCAAGCACCGGCUAACUCUGUGCCAGCAGCCGCGGUAA